GAUGAACGCUGGCGGCGUGCCUAAUACAUGCAAGUCGAGCGAAUGGAUUAAGAGCUUGCUCUUAUGAAGUUAGCGGCGGACGGGUGAGUAACACGUGGGUAACCUGCCCAUAAGACUGGGAUAACUCCGGGAAACCGGGGCUAAUACCGGAUAACAUUUUGAACCGCAUGGUUCGAAAUUGAAAGUCGGCUUCGGCUGGCACGUAGGGAUGGACCCGCGUCGCAUUAGCUAGUUGGUGAGGUAACGGCUCACCAAGGCAACGAUGCGUAGCCGACCUGAGAGGGUGAUCGGCCACACUGGGACUGAGACACGGCCCAGACUCCUACGGGAGGCAGCAGUAGGGAAUCUUCCGCAAUGGACGAAAGUCUGACGGAGCAACGCCGCGUGAGUGAUGAAGGCUUUCGGGUCGUAAAACUCUGUUGUUAGGGAAGAACAAGUGCUAGUUGAAUAAGCUGGCACCUUGACGGUACCUAACCAGAAAGCCACGGCUAACUACGUGCCAGCCGCCGCGGUAA
RNAcentral lists this ribosomal RNA (515 nucleotides) under uncultured bacterium. Its description in RNAcentral is "partial 16S ribosomal RNA". It matches the Rfam family "Bacterial small subunit ribosomal RNA", at positions 28 to 523 of the family's 1533-position model. The record is from RNAcentral.